UUAUACGACCGUACCGCAAACCGACACUGGUGCGCGAGAUGAGUAUUCUAAGGCGCUUGAGAGAACUCAGGAGAAGGAACUCGGCAAAUUGACACCGUAACUUCGGAAGAAGGUGUGCCCUAUUAGUGUGUAGUGAACAACGAAGCAUGAAUGGGUUGCAAAAAAUCGGUGGCUGCGACUGUUUAUUAAAAACACAGCACUCUGCAAACACGAAAGUGGACGUAUAGGGUGUGACGCCUGCCCGGUGCUGGAAGAUUAAAUGAUGGGGUGCAAGCUCUUGAUUGAAGUCCCAGUAAACGGCGGCCGUAACUAUAACGGUCCUAAGGUAGCGAAAUUCCUUGUCGGGUAAGUUCCGACCUGCACGAAUGGCGUAACGAUGGCCACACUGUCUCCUCCUGAGACUCAGCGAAGUUGAAAUGUUUGUGAUGAUGCAAUCUCCCCGCGGAAAGACGGAAAGACCCCAUGAACCUUUACUGUAGCUUUGUAUUGGACUUUGAACAGAUCUGUGUAGGAUAGGUGGGAGGCUUUGAAGCAGGGUCGCUAGAUCUUGUGGAGCCAACGUUGAAAUACCACCCUGGUGUGUUUGAGGUUCUAACCUAGGUCCAUUAUCUGGAUCGGGGACAGUGCAUGGUAGGCAGUUUGACUGGGGCGGUCUCCUCCCAAAGCGUAACGGAGGAGUUCGAAGGUACGCUAGUUACGGUCGGACAUCGUGACGAUAGUGCAAUGGCAUAAGCGUGCUUAACUGCGAGACUGACAAGUCGAGCAGAUGCGAAAGCAGGACAUAGUGAUCCGGUGGUUCUGUAUGGAAGGGCCAUCGCUCAACGGAUAAAAGGUACUCUGGGGAUAACAGGCUGAUACCGCCCAAGAGUUCAUAUCGACGGCGGUGUUUGGCACCUCGAUGUCGGCUCAUCUCAUCCUGGGGCUGUAGCCGGUCCCAAGGGUAUGGCUGUUCGCCAUUUAAAGAGGUACGUGAGCUGGGUUUAAAACGUCGUGAGACAGUUUGGUCCCUAUCUUCCGUGGGCGCUGCAGAUUUGAGGAAGCCUGCUCCUAGUACGAGAGGACCGGAGUGGACACACCCCUGGUGUAUCGGUUGUCACGCCAGUGGCAUUGCCGAGUAGCUAAGUGUGGAAGAGAUAACCGCUGAAAGCAUCUAAGCGGGAAACUCGUUUCAAGAUGAGAUCUGCCGGGGCCUUGAGCCCCCUAAAGAGUCGUUCAAGACCAGGACGUUGAUAGGUCAGGUGUGGAAGCGUC
RNAcentral lists this ribosomal RNA (1251 nucleotides) under metagenome. RNAcentral's name for it is "bacterial LSU rRNA". It matches the Rfam family "Bacterial large subunit ribosomal RNA", at positions 1634 to 2877 of the family's 2925-position model. The record is from RNAcentral.